GACGAACCGUGCAAACGUUGUUCGGAAUCACUGGGCUUAAAGGGCGCGUAGGCGGCAGACCAAGUCCGGGGUGAAAUCUUUCGGCUUAACCGGAAAAGGGCCUUGGAUACUGGUUUGCUAGAGGGAGGUAGGGGUCUGUGGAACUUCUGGUGGAGCGGUGAAAUGCGUUGAUAUCAGAAGGAACGCCGGUGGCGAAAGCGACGGACUGGAUCUCUUCUGACGCUGAUGCGCGAAAGCCAGGGGAGCAAACGGGAUUAGAUACCCCGGUAGUCCUGGCCCUAAACGAUGGGUACUAGGUAGCAGACUAAACAUGGGUUUGCUGCCGAAGCAAAAGUGUUAAGUACCCCGCCUGGGGAGUAUGGUCGCAAGGCUGAA
This 375-nucleotide ribosomal RNA is filed under the name uncultured bacterium. RNAcentral describes it as "bacterial SSU rRNA". It matches the Rfam family "Bacterial small subunit ribosomal RNA", at positions 524 to 898 of the family's 1533-position model. The record is from RNAcentral.